ACGGGUGAGUAACACGUGGGUAACCUGCCCUGUACUCUGGGAUAAGCCUGGGAAACUAGGUCUAAUACCGGAUAUGACCUGUCACCGCAUGGUGGUGGGUGGAAAGUUCCGGCGGUACGGGAUGGACCCGCGGCCUAUCAGCUUGUUGGUGGGGUAAUGGCCUACCAAGGCGACGACGGGUAGCCGGCCUGAGAGGGUGACCGGCCACACUGGGACUGAGACACGGCCCAGACUCCUACGGGAGGCAGCAGUGGGGAAUAUUGCACAAUGGGCGAAAGCCUGAUGCAGCGACGCCGCGUGAGGGAUGACGGCCUUCGGGUUGUAAACCUCUUUCAGCAGGGACGAAGCGUGAGUGACGGUACCUGCAGAAGAAGCACCGGCUAA
This 384-nucleotide ribosomal RNA is filed under the name bacterium gwi51. RNAcentral describes it as "bacterial SSU rRNA". It matches the Rfam family "Bacterial small subunit ribosomal RNA", at positions 102 to 500 of the family's 1533-position model. The record is from RNAcentral.